UACGUAGGCAGCAAGCGUUGUUCGGAGUUACUGGGCGUAAAGGGUGCGUAGGCGGCUUUUUAAGUUUGGUGUGAAAUCUCCCGGCUCAACUGGGAGGGUGCGCCGAAUACUGAGAGGCUAGAGUGCGGGAGAGGAAAGUGGAAUUCCUGGUGUAGCGGUGAAAUGCGUAGAUAUCAGGAGGAACACCGGUGGUGUAGACGGCUUUCUGGACCGUAACUGACGCUGAGACACGAAAGCGUGGGUAGCAAACAGG
Molecule: ribosomal RNA, 253 nt
Filed under: uncultured bacterium
Lineage: Bacteria
Description: partial 16S ribosomal RNA
Rfam family: Bacterial small subunit ribosomal RNA
Source: RNAcentral